UGAGAUCGUUAUGAGGAUAUCUAAGCUCCCUCUACUGAUAUCGGUGAGGAAAAUUGCUGGCAGAAUCGAACCAAUAAAUUAAUUUGCCAUUACUGAAUGA
This is a non-coding RNA of Solanum lycopersicum (tomato), 100 nucleotides long. NCBI's taxonomy places the organism in Eukaryota, Viridiplantae, Streptophyta, Magnoliopsida, Solanales, Solanaceae. The record is from Rfam.